UCCAGGUGAGAUUAGUGUUUGAAUCAGUCGACUGAGUUAAGUGGAUGGCCCUCCCAGGUGUGGGUGGGCCUCAUCCGGUGCCUCCCGGGCCUGAAUAGAACAAGAGGAGGAGGAGGAAGGGGGAAUUCACCUCUUUUUUUCCUGACUCACUGCCGAGAUGAACACCUCAGUGCGUAUCUUCUGCGGUCAGAGGAUGGGGAUGCACACCAUCAGCUGCCCUGGUUCUCAGGCCUUCGAAUGUGGACUGCAUUAUACCACUGGCUCUCCUGGGCCUCCACCUUGCAGACAGCAGACUGUGGGACUCCCCUGCCUCCAUUACCAUGUUUCCAGUCCAGUUAAAGCCUCCUGGCCUCCGGAAUUCCCUCCUGUGUUCUACCAGAUGAUAGCAGGUGCCUCUCUGCCCUUGUGGAGCCUUUAGGCACUAAAGCCAGCACACAGAAGGAAUGCUGAGCCAGGAGAAAUGGUUGCAAAGUUUGGCCUGUUGUCUUCCCCAAACCUCUCCACAAGUAUCUCCCGGCAGAAGCAGCCUUUGGUGGGGAAAGUUCAACUGCAAUACAGUUACAGAUUUUCCCUGUGUGCCUUUUCCCUCCUCUACCUCUUUAACCAUUGUUCUUUCUCCUGUGGGCCCUCAAAAUUUGUUUGCAUGAAAGAUCCUAUUAUCAUUAAUUAGGCCUUAGAGUAAUGUAUAAUUCAAUGAGUCCAAACAGUGAUUUAAGAGGCUAGGGUUCAGUUCUGAGUCUUCCAUUGUGCAUUUGAGUGGCACCAUUUGCCUUCUUUGAGGCCCAGCUGCUUCCAGUGUCAAUAAAGUGAGGGAUAAUAAUUCCAUAGUUUCCCUACCUGCCUUAUAUACUUGUGAGGGUCAAAUAAAACAAAAAUAGAAAGGCACUGUGACAAAUGUAAUGUUACAGUAAUUCAGAUGGGUUUUCAUUAUUACUGUUAGUAGCAAUAAUAGUAUUUGUAUUGGUAGUAGCAGCAGUAGUGACCUGAGUAGCAGUGGUCUUUAUAGAAUCCCAGAGUCUUGGAGUCAGAAAAGACCAAUUUCUCACCAAAUAUAAUACUGUAUUACCUAUUAACUUCAUUAUCAUAAUUACUAUUUUAUAUGCUUCUUCCAUUCUGUUUUCUCUAGGGCAUUCACUGAAGUAAAACUAAUGUCUUCCUAUCCUCUUCCAUAU
Long non-coding RNA from Felis catus (domestic cat), 1172 nucleotides. RefSeq lists it as uncharacterized. NCBI's taxonomy places the organism in Eukaryota, Metazoa, Chordata, Mammalia, Carnivora, Felidae. The transcript is spliced from 3 exons. The record is from RefSeq and is a predicted model, not a curated record.